Molecule: ribosomal RNA, 474 nt
Filed under: uncultured bacterium
Lineage: Bacteria
Description: bacterial SSU rRNA
Rfam family: Bacterial small subunit ribosomal RNA
Source: RNAcentral
GACACGGUCCAAACUCCUACGGGAGGCAGCAGUGAGGAAUAUUGGUCAAUGGGCGAGAGCCUGAACCAGCCAAGUAGCGUGAAGGAUGACUGCCCUAUGGGUUGUAAACUUCUUUUAUAAAGGAAUAAAGUCGGGUAUGGAUACCCGUUUGCAUGUACUUUAUGAAUAAGGAUCGGCUAACUCCGUGCCAGCAGCCGCGGUAAUACGGAGGAUCCGAGCGUUAUCCGGAUUUAUUGGGUUUAAAGGGAGCGUAGAUGGAUGUUUAAGUCAGUUGUGAAAGUUUGCGGCUCAACCGUAAAAUUGCAGUUGAUACUGGAUAUCUUGAGUGCAGUUGAGGCAGGCGGAAUUCGUGGUGUAGCGGUGAAAUGCUUAGAUAUCACGAAGAACUCCGAUUGCGAAGGCAGCCUGCUAAGCUGCAACUGACAUUGAGGCUCGAAAGUGUGGGUAUCAAACAGGAUUAGAUACCCUGGUAGU